AAGUCGUAACAAGGUUUCCGUAGGUGAACCUGCGGAAGGAUCAUUACAGAGAAUCUGCCCCCGGCAAGUCUCCACCCUUUCGUUCAUUUCAUACCUUGUUCGCUUUUGGCAUGGCCCUGGCCCCCAGGGCCCGCCCGGGCUUCCGGCUUGGCCAGCGGCUCUGCCAGAGGACCCCAAACUCUUGUUUUAUUGUCGUCUGAGUACUAUAUAAUAGUUAAAA
This 220-nucleotide unclassified non-coding RNA is filed under the name plant metagenome. Its description in RNAcentral is "partial contains small subunit ribosomal RNA and internal transcribed spacer 1". The stretch from base 1 to 46 matches the Rfam family "Eukaryotic small subunit ribosomal RNA", at positions 1786 to 1831 of the family's 1831-position model. The record is from RNAcentral.